RNAcentral lists this ribosomal RNA (557 nucleotides) under Sphingomonas sp. SDB-126. RNAcentral describes it as "bacterial SSU rRNA". It matches the Rfam family "Bacterial small subunit ribosomal RNA", at positions 102 to 694 of the family's 1533-position model. Lineage: Bacteria; Pseudomonadati; Pseudomonadota; Alphaproteobacteria; Sphingomonadales; Sphingomonadaceae. The record is from RNAcentral.
ACGGGUGCGUAACGCGUGGGAAUCUGCCCCUUGGUUCGGAAUAACAGUUGGAAACGACUGCUAAUACCGGAUGAUGACGUAAGUCCAAAGAUUUAUCGCCGAGGGAUGAGCCCGCGUAAGAUUAGCUAGUUGGUGUGGUAAAGGCGCACCAAGGCGACAAUCUUUAGCUGGUCUGAGAGGAUGAUCAGCCACACUGGGACUGAGACACGGCCCAGACUCCUACGGGAGGCAGCAGUGGGGAAUAUUGGACAAUGGGCGAAAGCCUGAUCCAGCAAUGCCGCGUGAGUGAUGAAGGCCUUAGGGUUGUAAAGCUCUUUUACCCGGGAUGAUAAUGACAGUACCGGGAGAAUAAGCUCCGGCUAACUCCGUGCCAGCAGCCGCGGUAAUACGGAGGGAGCUAGCGUUAUUCGGAAUUACUGGGCGUAAAGCGCACGUAGGCGGCUUUGUAAGUUAGAGGUGAAAGCCUGGAGCUCAACUCCAGAAUUGCCUUUAAGACUGCAUCGCUUGAAUCCAGGAGAGGUGAGUGGAAUUCCGAGUGUAGAGGUGAAAUUCGUAGA